AUUGAACGCUGGCGGCAGGCCUAACACAUGCAAGUCGAACGAGUGGCGGACGGGUGAGUAAUGUCUGGGAAACUGCCUGAUGGAGGGGGAUAACUACUGGAAACGGUAGCUAAUACCGCAUACCAUCAGAUGUGCCCACAUGGGAUUAGCUUGGGGGGGGGGUAAAGGCUCACCUAGGCGACGAUCCCUAUCUGGUCUGAGAGGAUGACCAGCCACAUGGGGACUGAGACACGGUCCAGACCCCUACGGGAGGCAGCAGUGGGGAAUAUUCGACAAUGGGCGCAAGCCUGAUGCAGCCAUGCCGCGUGAAUGAAGAAGGCCUUCGGGUUGUAAAGUACUUUCAGCGGGGAAGCGGUACCCGAAGAAGAAGCACCGGCUAACUCCGUGCCAGCAGCCGCGGUAAUAC
RNAcentral lists this ribosomal RNA (406 nucleotides) under uncultured bacterium. Its description in RNAcentral is "partial 16S ribosomal RNA". It matches the Rfam family "Bacterial small subunit ribosomal RNA", at positions 30 to 526 of the family's 1533-position model. The record is from RNAcentral.